CCUACGGGAGGCAGCAGUGAGGAAUAUUGGUCAAUGGACGAGAGUCUGAACCAGCCAAGUAGCGUGAAGGAUGACUGCCCUAUGGGUUGUAAACUUCUUUUAUAUGGGAAUAAAAUGUUCCACGUGUGGGAUUUUGUAUGUACCAUAUGAAUAAGGAUCGGCUAACUCCGUGCCAGCAGCCGCGGUAAUACGGAGGACCCGAGCGUUAUCCGGAUUUAUUGGGUUUAAAGGGAGCGUAGGUGGAUUGUUAAGUCAGUUGUGAAAGUUUGCGGUUCAAACGUAAAAUUGCAGUUGAAACUGGCAGUCUUGAGUACAGUAGAGGUGGGCGGAAUUCGUGGUGUAGCGGUGAAAUGCUUAGAUAUCACGAAGAACUCCGAUUGCGAAGGCAGUUCACUGGACUGCAACUGACACUGAGGCUCGAAAGUGUGGGUAUCAAACAGGAUUAGAUACCCUAGUAGUC
RNAcentral lists this ribosomal RNA (460 nucleotides) under uncultured bacterium. Its description in RNAcentral is "partial 16S ribosomal RNA". It matches the Rfam family "Bacterial small subunit ribosomal RNA", at positions 338 to 795 of the family's 1533-position model. The record is from RNAcentral.